Molecule: unclassified non-coding RNA, 250 nt
Filed under: plant metagenome
Description: partial contains small subunit ribosomal RNA, internal transcribed spacer 1, and 5.8S ribosomal RNA
Rfam family: 5.8S ribosomal RNA (bases 196-250)
Source: RNAcentral
GUUGGUGAACCAGCGGAGGGAUCAUUACAGAGUUGCAAAACUCCCUAAACCAUCGCGAACGUUACCCCAAACCGUUGCUUCGGCGGGCGGCCGCGGCUCACCCCCGCGGCCCCCGGGCCCCCUCAAGGGCGCCCGCCGGAGGCUCCAACUCUUGAAUUUAUGGCCUCUCUGAGUCUUCUGUACUGAAUAAGUCAAAACUUUCAACAACGGAUCUCUUGGUUCUGGCAUCGAUGAAGAACGCAGCAUCUGA